UACGUAGGUGGCAAGCGUUGUCCGGAAUUAUUGGGCGUAAAGCGCGCACAGGCGGUCCUUUAAGUCUGAUGUGAAAGCCCACGGCUCAACCGUGGAGGGUCAUUGGAAACUGGGGGACUUGAGUACAGAAGAGAAGAGUGGAAUUCCACGUGUAGCGGUGAAAUGCGUAGAGAUGUGGAGGAACACCAGUGGCGAAGGCGACUCUUUGGUCUGUAACUGACGCUGAGGCGCGAAAGCUAGGGGAGCAAACGGG
RNAcentral lists this ribosomal RNA (253 nucleotides) under uncultured bacterium. RNAcentral's name for it is "partial 16S ribosomal RNA". It matches the Rfam family "Bacterial small subunit ribosomal RNA", at positions 524 to 776 of the family's 1533-position model. The record is from RNAcentral.